UUAAAAAACCAGAUCAAACCA
RNAcentral lists this non-coding RNA (21 nucleotides) under Caenorhabditis elegans. The record is from RNAcentral. Lineage: Eukaryota; Metazoa; Nematoda; Chromadorea; Rhabditida; Rhabditidae.